RNAcentral lists this long non-coding RNA (1404 nucleotides) under Macaca fascicularis (crab-eating macaque). Its description in RNAcentral is "lncRNA (ENSMFAG00000064936.1)". The record is from RNAcentral. Lineage: Eukaryota; Metazoa; Chordata; Mammalia; Primates; Cercopithecidae.
CUGGAUUCAAGUGAUUCUCCUGUCUCAGCCUCCUGAGUAGCUGGGCUUAUAGGUGUGCACCACCACGCCUGGCUAACUUUUGCAUUUUUAGUAGAGACGGGUUUUCACCAUGUUGGCAAGGCUGGUCUAGAACUCCUGACCUCCUGACCUCAGGUGAUCCGCCCACCUCGGCCUAGCAAAGUGCUGGGAUUACAGGUGUAAGCCACUGUGCCUGGCCUCACAGAUAUGUUUUAUUGAAACACAUGUUAGAUCUUCUUUGGGAUCACUGCAAAUGGUUGUAUGAUUUGUGUGCCACAAAGUGGCAAGUAGCGGCUGAAAUCCACCCAGUGCUUUGCUCACCAAGCCCUGCAUCGGUGAGCUCUGGUCUUCUGCUAAGACCUUUUUAGCCCUGCAAAGUCACCAUACAGACUAGCAGUACGUCUGAUCACAGUCAUCCAAAUGUGGGAUCUUCAGUAACGAUGACCUAAGAAUUUGACGGAACAACGGGUUGCCAAAUGCAGUUUUUCUUCCCUGCUAAUAUCCUGGUCACCUCGCUGGGCUUGCCAACUUUAUCUGGUCCCUUCUUCCUCUGCCCCAAGCUGCCACCCUUAAACUGGAGUCAGUGCUUUCACUGCCCAGUGGGGCCGCCCAUCUCAGCAGGCCUCCCCAGCAGUGCCUGAUGUUUCAUCUCAUGUGAAAUUGCCCCAGAACACAGGAUCAGCUCUGCACUGGGCCAUCACUGCCACUCCUCAGGGGCAGCUGGGUCUCCUCCCUGUGGCCUUCCAACAAUGGCUGGCAGUAGGGCUCAUCCCGAACCCAUUAAGGUGAUUUUUUUUUUCCUCCAAGGUACUUCCUUGAGGGCUGAAUACUAAUCAGCCUUCGAUACAAAUGAGGGGCCCCCUGUCAUCUUUGUGGCUGUGCAGUGGCUCUGUGGGGACAAUCCCAUGUGCCAUCCUCCCCACAACUUCGUUCUCCUGGGUUUUGUGCAAGAGCCAAUAUUGAUUACUGUUUUUGUUUGUUUGUUCGUUUGUUUGAGACAGAGUAUCACUCUGUAGCCAGGCUGGAGUGCAGUGGUGCAAUCUCAGUCUCUGCUCGCCUCACUGCAACCUCUGCCUCCCAGGUUCAAGUGAUUCUCCUGCUUCAGCCUCCUAAGUGGCUGGGACUACAGGCACAUGUCACCACGCCCAGCUAAUUUUUGUGUUUUUAGUAGAGACAGGGUUUCGUCAUGUUGGCCAGGAUGGUCUCGAUCCCUUGACCUGGUGAUCCGCCUGCCUUGGCCUCCCAAAGGAUUACUGUUAUUUCAUGAGAUGACUACAGGCUCAUCAUGCCACAGCAGUGGUGCCCCAGAACACUUCUCACAGUACAAGCAAGUCCUAUAGCAAAAUCCACGGGAACCUACAGGACAGUGGUCGAAGCCAUCUCUGC